UACGUAGGGCGCAAGCGUUGUCCGGAUUUAUUGGGCGUAAAGAGCGUGUAGGCGGCCAGGUAGGUCCGUUGUGAAAACUCGAGGCUCAACCUCGAGACGUCGAUGGAAACCAUCUGGCUAGAGUCCGGAAGAGGAGAGUGGAAUUCCUGGUGUAGCGGUGAAAUGCGCAGAUAUCAGGAAGAACACCUAUGGCGAAGGCAGCUCUCUGGGACGGUACUGACGCUGAGACGCGAAAGCGUGGGGAGCGAACAGG
Molecule: ribosomal RNA, 253 nt
Filed under: uncultured bacterium
Lineage: Bacteria
Description: partial 16S ribosomal RNA
Rfam family: Bacterial small subunit ribosomal RNA
Source: RNAcentral